Molecule: non-coding RNA, 3434 nt
Organism: Durio zibethinus
Lineage: Eukaryota; Viridiplantae; Streptophyta; Magnoliopsida; Malvales; Malvaceae
Source: RefSeq, a predicted model, not a curated record
AAUUGCUUGUACUUGAUGUUUUGUGGAGAUGAAUAUGUGGAUUGAAGUCUCUGUUAGCCUAGGGUUAGUUUCUAUUUGAAGAUUUUAACCUGAAUGAUUUUUUAUUGGUCUUGAAGUGUCACGCAUACCAUUAGAAAGGAUCCACAAUUUGCCAGAUUGUCAUCGGAAAGUCGUUGAAAUUUUUUUAAGAUGAAAAGGCACAAGAAUAUAGAUUGGUUUGUAGAGAAUUGCACAAAACAUAAAAAUUUCAAAAGUUUCAAUUAAAAUCUUACCUUAAUCAGUGAUUUCUAGGAUUGAUUUGUCCUUUCUCUUUCUCUUUUUUUGGAGGGUUUCUUCAAGUUUUCUUAUUUCUUUUUCUGUCAGAGAAAACUAUUGAUAAAAACUGUGAUAAAUUUUUUUCUCUUCUCCUUAAGUUUUUUUUUUUUUAAUAAUACUGAGUCACUGAUUAGUUUAUAAUAACUUAGGCUUGGGUAUUACACAUCCAGACAAUGAUUUAAUGCCUAGGACGGAAUAUGGUAUUUGAAAGUUUAAAUCAUAACCUGUGCCAAUAACCUUCUCUUUCUUGUGUCGAAUAGCUGCCUAGGUACCAUUGGAAAUGCUCUAUGAUCUCCUCAUGUAUAUAUUCCUCUAUUUUUUUCAAUUUUUGUUGAUAAAAAUGAAUAAGGUCCCUAUCUUAAUGAAACAAUAACAAUAGGUAAAUCAAGUCUUAACCAUGAGGACAACUUUAGUAAUAAAAAGAAAUGAUUGAAAUAGUAUGAAAAUGCCCUCAUUGAUCUAUUCACUCACUCAUCUCACUAGCAAAGAUUCCAAAAGUUUCACAUAAAAAGGAGUUGGCUAAUGACUAAUGUGAAGUGAAGAUUUUAACCUUGUGCAUUUGACAAUUGGUAGAUGAUGAAAAGUUAGCUCAAAGUUUCAGCACAAGAUCAUAAAGUCCAGUGUUCAGGUAAUUUUUCUUUGUGAUUCUUAUGAGACGGUUCUUCUUAUUUUUGCUGUCUUUUCACUCUUUCAUGCAAUUGCGAUCCAUGACUGCCAGACGAUCAGACAGAUGUGAUCACAAUGUCAACUCCUUCGGUAUCCAUAUGCCACUCAUUGGCCCAUAAAAAUUAAAAACAUUGCCAUCCACUCCAGGGCUGUGGACGUCCGAGGUAAGUAUAUAUCAAUUAGUGGGGAUACAGCCAUACAAGUUGUGAACUUAUUGUGAAGGUUUAAGAGAUUUCUCUACGUAUUAUUCCACACGAAACGGUUGAACUGAAUGCAUGACUAAUUAAAUAUGGGAUGUCAAAACUUUUCUGAUAACCCCAAUUAUGCCAUGCCAGGUGUCAUCAUAUCUUUAUGGAACGCAUCAUGCUAGCAUUUGUUUGUCUCUUAAAAUGGAAGAGGAGUCUAUUUAUGUAAAUGUGAAGCAAUAUCAUGGCAUUUGGAGGCUAAGACAAAAGCGUGCUAAGGCUGAGCUUUGAAAAGAAAAUCAUUAAAGCUAGAAAGCCAUACCUUCACGAGUCCCGGUAUCUACACACUAUGAGAAGGGCUAGGGGUAAUGCUGGUUGUUUUCUUAAUUCAGUGAUGCCAAAAGUUGAUAUUACCAAUCCCAUAUCAGAAAAGGGCAUGAACUCAGAUGAAAACGUUUCAAUUGAAUCAGCUCACUUAUCUGGGUCUUAGUGUGUAUCUGCCAAUGAAUAUGCAGAUAUUGCUGAAGUUCCAAUUCAAGAUGAAUCCCAAGAAUCAGAAGUUGAAAAUUUAUUGGAAGUUUCAAACCAAGUAGAGAACCAAUAGACAAGUUGUGGAGACCUGAUGUCUGUUUUAAUUCGAAGAUCUCAUGAUUUUAUCUUACAAAAGACUUAGAUGGCAAGGAGAAAGGAUGAGGACGAUCGUGGAAAAGGACAAGAAAAGGAGUUGUUUGUUCGACAGGGAUAAUAGAGAUGAUGAUCCUAAAAGAAGCAAUUCUAGUGGUAUGAAAAGCUGUGGAUUUUUGGUGAUAAACAAAAAACUCGUUCACUAUAUGUAAAAUGACAGUAGUGAACAAACUUUAAUCGUUGGCCAAAAGACAAAAAACAGACUUUAAUAAAUUAUUCCUCAUUUGUGCGGGCUCACUUCUUACUAACAUACAUCUUAAUCCAAAGUGAUGCAAAUUUGCCAUCACAAUACUGUUAGGUAUAUAUCAAAAUUUGUCUGAUGGAUCUCCUUUUGUUCUUUAUCUGUAUAUGUGCCCCCUUCUGUUAUAGAUUUUUUUUUUAUUUACAUUUACCACUUUGAAAAUUUAUUCAUAUGUAGAGGAUUCAAUUUACAAGGAAAAGAAAUCACCCACCUUUGUUGUGAUUGACUUGUCUAUACAUGCUUGUUACAGGCCAAACAAAAAAAAAAAAAAGGACUAAUAUUAACUUGAAAAAACAGAAACUUAGAGGAAUAAUUAUAAUCAGAGUUUGAAGAGAUUUCUUUAAUGUUCUUAGCAUAUGAUAUAUCUUCAUUUAGUCUAGCAUACUUCCAUUUUUCUUUCCAUAUUUCCUUUGAUCAAGCUGAUUGAAAUUAUAUUUAUGGAAUGUUUCUAAGGAUUAAUGUCUGCUUGAUCAAUCUUAUUACUAUGGAAUAUGCUGGUUGAUAGCUUAGGACUCGUGGAAAUUGUUGGGUUCUUUACUUGUUUUUGUCCCAACUCAUCCAGUUGGGCAAGUCUCAUCUAUAAGCUGAUAUAUUUAGGGCAGUUUGUGGAUCUUGUAUUACAAGUUUUUCUACUUUUCUUUUGCCUGCCUAUUGAAAUCUACAUGUACUGAACUAUGCCCUGUAAGAGUUCUGCCUACAAGUAAAUCGGUUAGUAUAACUAUUGACAUAUAUGUCCUUGCCCUCUCGACGGGAUUUUACAUGCAAGAAAUAGAUAAAUUUUAGCAUCUUGUAUGCAAAUGGAUGAUUGUGUUGAGAAAUGGCUGGAAGUUGUAGCCAAUGUAAACAUGCUGAAAUUUUUGACGUGUGCUACACUAACAACCGUUGUACUACAGUAUCAUGUUACUGUACAUGAAAAGUUGGCGGCAAUUGAUUGGUGAUUGAUUUCUUUGGAAGAAAAAGGAUUAACGACUUUAUAUAAGUCUCAAUAAAGCAAUAUAAAUUUAUCCAAAAGAUUGAAAUUAGUCCAAAAGAUCUAUCUAAAACAGUUACUUAGUUCUUUUGUGGAGAAUGGACUCAUUUCUAAUUGAUUGAUCGCAAAGAAACAUAGGACUGAAUCCCAGAUUUAUUGUGACCCAAUGGAAAAAAAAAACAAACUAAAGACAUUUGAAGAAGUUGGUUUCAGACUGAUAUAGAAAGAGAGGUGCAGUAAAAAAAAUCACCUGGAAAUCGUCGUCAGAACUGUUGUGAGUUUUGCUCAGCAUUUUAAGUCGGUGUUUUGAUAGGUUAGAACAAGCUGAUCAUCAAGAGAGUUGACUUGGCAUUGACAAACAUGGUUAGUGGAU